CGCUACGGACUUAAAAUCCGUCGACUUUAUAAGUCGUGAGGGUUCAAGUCCUNUCUAUCCCCA
Molecule: transfer RNA, 63 nt
Filed under: Peyritschia viridis
Lineage: Eukaryota; Viridiplantae; Streptophyta; Magnoliopsida; Poales; Poaceae
Description: Trisetum viride partial tRNA-Leu
Source: RNAcentral